CAGUAGCCGCGGGAAUACGGAGGGAGCUAGCGUUGUUCGGAAUUACUGGGCGUAAAGCGCGCGUAGGCGGUUACUCAAGUCAGAGGUGAAAGCCCGGGGCUCAACCCCGGAACUGCCUUUGAAACUAGGUGACUAGAAUCUUGGAGAGGUCAGUGGAAUUCCGAGUGUAGAGGUGAAAUUCGUAGAUAUUCGGAAGAACACCAGUGGCGAAGGCGACUGACUGGACAAGUAUUGACGCUGAGGCACGAAAGCGUGGGGAGCAAACAGGAUUAGAUACCCCAGUAGUCCCUGUCUCUUAUAC
RNAcentral lists this ribosomal RNA (301 nucleotides) under uncultured bacterium. RNAcentral's name for it is "partial 16S ribosomal RNA". It matches the Rfam family "Bacterial small subunit ribosomal RNA", at positions 509 to 807 of the family's 1533-position model. The record is from RNAcentral.